Molecule: ribosomal RNA, 468 nt
Filed under: uncultured bacterium
Lineage: Bacteria
Description: partial 16S ribosomal RNA
Rfam family: Bacterial small subunit ribosomal RNA
Source: RNAcentral
GACGAACGCUGGCGGCGUGCUUAACACAUGCAAGUCGAACGGAAAGGCCCUGCGCUUGUGGGGUGCUCGAGAGGGGAAGGGGGGAGUAACACGCGAGUAACCUGCACUUGACUUAGGGGUAACAUCAGGAAACUGGGGCUAAUACAGGAUAGGAGCUACUGAUGCGUGGUGGGGGUUGGAAAGUUUCGGCGGUUGGGGCUAGAAUCGCGGCUUAUCAGCUUGUUGGUGGGGUAGUGGCUUACCAAGGCUUCGAAGGGUAGGCCGCCUGGGAGGGUGGCCGGCGACAAUGGGACUGCGGGACGGCCCAGACUCCUACGGUAGGCAGUAGUCGGAAGUAUUGCGCAGUGGGCCGAAGCCUGAUACAGCAACGCCGCGUGCGGGAUGACGUCCUUCGAGUUAUAAACCACUUUCUCCUUUGACGUGGCGUUAGUGACGGUAAUUGGUAAAGAAGCACCGGCUAACUACGUG